Cajanus cajan (pigeon pea) is the source of this 768-nucleotide non-coding RNA. The record is from RefSeq and is a predicted model, not a curated record. NCBI's taxonomy places the organism in Eukaryota, Viridiplantae, Streptophyta, Magnoliopsida, Fabales, Fabaceae.
ACAAAAUAUAGAGUAUUUUGGGCCUUGUUGACUGAGUUUUGAAGAGUUUCUGAACUAUGAAGAAGAAAUGUAAAGCAAACUUCAACUGAUGCAAGUGUUAUUAAAUUUGAUUGCAGAGAUAGGAAUACUGGAAUAUGGGAUGAGGUUUCCAUUUCUAUUACUGGGCCAGUAAAAAUAAUUGAUCCCCACUUGGUGUCAUCAUUUUUUGACAAUUAUAAGAGAGUAUAUAUACAUACCACAACUGAGUUGGAAAACAGGAGCUCCUGGACUGCUGAGUGCUCUUUGAGUAUCCAUGCCACAACAGAACUUGAGGGGAGCAUUCACUUAGUAGAGCAACUUCAAACUCAAAAUCUUUCAAUUCCUGCAAGAUCACGGGUGCAAUAUACAUUUCCUGAGCUCUUCUUCUACAAGCCCAAUUUAUGGUGGCCAAAUGGAAUGGGGAAGCAAUCUUUGUACAAUGUUAUUAUUAACAUUGAUGUUAAAGGAUAUGGUGAGUCUGAUUCAUGGAGCCAUUACUUUGGAUUGCGCAAAAUUGAAAGCCAUAUCGAUGAUGCUACUGGUGGAAGAUUGUUCAAAGUCAAUGGACAACCAAUUUUUAUACGAGGGGGUAACUGGAUAUUGUCUGAUGGGCUCCUGCGACUUUCGAAGAAGCGAUACGAAACAGAUAUCAAGUUUCAUGCAGAUAUGAAUUUUAACAUGAUUCGAUGCUGGGGUGGUGGACUCGCUGAAAGGCCAGAGUUUUAUCAUUAUUGUGAUUAUUAUGGUAUU